This 445-nucleotide ribosomal RNA is filed under the name uncultured bacterium. RNAcentral describes it as "partial 16S ribosomal RNA". It matches the Rfam family "Bacterial small subunit ribosomal RNA", at positions 30 to 523 of the family's 1533-position model. The record is from RNAcentral.
CGAACGCUGGCGGCAGGCCUAAUACAUGCAAGUCGAACGGCUCUGCGGAGCAGUGGCGGACGGGUGAGUAACGCGUGGGAAUGUGCCCUUUGGUACGGAACAAGACAGGGAAACUCGUGCUAAUACCGUAUGUGCCCUUCGGUGGAAAGUUUUAUGGCAAUUGGAGCAGGCCGUGUUGGAUUAGGUAGUUGGUGAGGUAAAGGCUCACCAAGCCGACGAUCCAUAGCUGGUCUGAGAGGAUGAUCAGCCACACUGGGACUGCGACACGGCCCAUACUCCUACGGGAGGCAGCAGUAGGGAAUCUUGCGCAAUGGGCGAAAGCCUGACGCAGCCAUGCCGCGUGUAUGAUGAAGGUCUUAGGAUUGUAAAAUACUUUCACCGGGGAAGAUAAUGACGGUACCCGGAGAAGAAGCCCCGGCUAACUUCGUGCCAGCAGCCGCCGUAA